UGGUAGAUGCACCCUGGUUGAAACCCUAGAUCAUUCGAUCUAGGGAUUUUUCUU
Molecule: non-coding RNA, 54 nt
Organism: Lyngbya sp. PCC 8106
Lineage: Bacteria; Bacillati; Cyanobacteriota; Cyanophyceae; Oscillatoriales; Microcoleaceae
Source: Rfam